AUUGAACGCUGGCGGCAGGCCUAACACAUGCAAGUCGAGCGGAUGAAGGGAGCUUGCUCCUGGAUUCAGCGGCGGACGGGUGAGUAAUGCCUAGGAAUCUGCCUCGUAGUGGGGGAUAACGUCCGGAAACGGGCGCUAAUACCGCAUACGUCCUGAGGGAGAAAGUGGGGGAUCUUCGGACCUCACGCUAUCAGAUGAGCCUAGGUCGGAUUAGCUAGUUGGUGGGGUAAAGGCCUACCAAGGCGACGAUCCGUAACUGGUCUGAGAGGAUGAUCAGUCACACUGGAACUGAGACACGGUCCAGACUCCUACGGGAGGCAGCAGUGGGGAAUAUUGGACAAUGGGCGAAAGCCUGAUCCAGCCAUGCCGCGUGUGUGAAGAAGGUCUUCGGAUUGUAAAGCACUUUAAGUUGGGAGGAAGGGCAGUAAGUUAAUACCUUGCUGUUUUGACGUUACCAACAGAGUAAGCACCGGCUAACUUCGUG
This 484-nucleotide ribosomal RNA is filed under the name uncultured bacterium. RNAcentral's name for it is "partial 16S ribosomal RNA". It matches the Rfam family "Bacterial small subunit ribosomal RNA", at positions 30 to 507 of the family's 1533-position model. The record is from RNAcentral.